Molecule: ribosomal RNA, 421 nt
Filed under: uncultured bacterium
Lineage: Bacteria
Description: bacterial SSU rRNA
Rfam family: Bacterial small subunit ribosomal RNA
Source: RNAcentral
GAGGAAUAUUGGUCAAUGGACGAGAGUCUGAACCAGCCAAAUCGCGUGAAGGAAGACUGCCCUACGGGUUGUAAACUUCUUUUGUACAGGAAUAAAAGACAUUACGUGUAAUGUAUUGCAUGUACUGUACGAAUAAGCAUCGGCUAACUCCGUGCCAGCAGCCGCGGUAAUACGGAGGAUGCGAGCGUUAUCCGGAUUUAUUGGGUUUAAAGGGUGCGCAGGCGGGAUUUUAAGUCAGCGGUGAAAUUUUCAGGCUCAACCUGAACACUGCCGUUGAAACUGGGAUUCUUGAGUAUGGAUGAAGUAGGCGUAAUUCGUUGUGUAGCGGUGACAUGCUUAGAUAUAACGAGGAACUCCGAUUGCGUAGGCAGCUUACUAAGCCAUAACUGACGCUCAAGCACGAAAGCGUGGGGAUCAAACA